This 385-nucleotide ribosomal RNA is filed under the name marine copepod environmental sample. RNAcentral's name for it is "partial small subunit ribosomal RNA". It matches the Rfam family "Eukaryotic small subunit ribosomal RNA", at positions 587 to 972 of the family's 1831-position model. Lineage: Eukaryota; Metazoa; Arthropoda; Copepoda. The record is from RNAcentral.
AGCUCCAAUAGCGUAUAUUUAAUUUGUUGUGGUUAAAAAGCUCGUAGUUGGAUUUCGGCGGGGAUUGGGGGGGUUGAAAUGGUUCAAAACUGAAUUUUUUACCCGUGUGUUUUUCCAGAAUUUGACGGGUGACCUUAACCGAUUGUCCGUUAGAACUGGCUGGUUUACUUUGAAAAAAUUAGAGUGCUCAAAGCAAGCUUGACUGCUUGAAUAUUCGUGCAUGGAAUAAUAGAAUAGGAAGUUGUUUCUAUUUUGUUGGUUCUCGGAAAUCGACUUAAUGAUUAAUAGGGAUAGUCGGGGGCAUUUGUAUUCAAACGACAGAGGUGAAAUUCUUGGACCGUUUGAAGACAAACUACUGCGAAAGCAUUUGCCAAGAAUGUUUUCA